Non-coding RNA from Schizosaccharomyces pombe (fission yeast), 101 nucleotides. Lineage: Eukaryota; Fungi; Ascomycota; Schizosaccharomycetes; Schizosaccharomycetales; Schizosaccharomycetaceae. The record is from Rfam.
GGCCAGUUGGCCGAGCGGUCUAUGGCGCAGCACUCAAGUAAUACUUGGACGAUAGUCUUGCUGUAUCGAAAGAUGCGAGGGUUCGAAUCCCUCACUGGUCA